Molecule: ribosomal RNA, 526 nt
Filed under: uncultured Bacteroidota bacterium
Lineage: Bacteria; Pseudomonadati; Bacteroidota
Description: bacterial SSU rRNA
Rfam family: Bacterial small subunit ribosomal RNA
Source: RNAcentral
UACGGGAGGCAGCAGUGAGGAAUAUUGGUCAAUGGGCGCAAGCCUGAACCAGCCAUGCCGCGUGCAGGAAGAAUGCCCUAUGGGUUGUAAACUGCUUUUAUUUGGGAAUAAACCUCUUUACGUGUAGAGAGCUGAAGGUACCAAAUGAAUAAGCACCGGCUAACUCCGUGCCAGCAGCCGCGGUAAUACGGAGGGUGCAAGCGUUAUCCGGAAUCAUUGGGUUUAAAGGGUCCGCAGGCGGAUUUAUAAGUCAGUGGUGAAAUCCUAUCGCUUAACGAUAGAACUGCCAUUGAUACUGUAAGUCUUGAAUUCGGUCGGAGUGGGCGGAAUGUGUAGUGUAGCGGUGAAAUGCAUAGAUAUUACACAGAACACCGAUAGCGAAGGCAGCUCACUAGGCCUGAAUUGACGCUCAGGGACGAAAGCGUGGGGAUCAAACAGGAUUAGAUACCCUGGUAGUCCACGCUGUAAACGAUGAUUACUCGUUUUCGGCGAUAUACAGUCGGAGACUAAGCGAAAGUGAUAAGUA